GGGCUUGUGGUUUAGUGGUAUAAUUUUCCCUUAGCAUGUUCUCCUGUUAUAAAUCACGGGAGUAUCGUGGGAAAGGUCCUGGGUUCGAUUCCCAGCAAGUCCA
Molecule: non-coding RNA, 103 nt
Organism: Bimuria novae-zelandiae CBS 107.79
Lineage: Eukaryota; Fungi; Ascomycota; Dothideomycetes; Pleosporales; Didymosphaeriaceae
Source: the annotation of a GenBank genome assembly